AGGGGGUUAGCGUUGUUCGGAAUUACUGGGCGUAAAGCGCACGUAGGCGGAUCAGAAAGUAUGAGGUGAAAUCCCGGGGCUCAACCCGGAACUGCCUUGUAAACUCCUGGUCUUGAGUUCGAGAGAGGUGAGUGGAAUUCCGAGUGUAGAGGUGAAAUUCGUAGAUAUUCGGAGGAACACCAGUGGCGAAGGCGGCUCCCUGGCUCGAUACUGACGCUGAGGUGCGAAAGCGUGGGGAGCGAACAGGAUUAGAUACCCUGGUAGUCCACGCCGUAAACGAUGAUUACUCGGUAUUGGCUUCGGUCAGUGCCCAAGCGAAAGUGAUAAGUAAUCCACCUGGGGAGUACGCCCGCAAGGGUGAAACUCAAAGGAAUUGACGGGGGCCCGCACAAGCGGUGGAGCAUGUGGUUUAAUUCGAUGAUACGCGAGGAACCUUACCAGGGUUUAAAUGCAGAACGACAGGGGUGGAAACACCCCCUUCUUCGGACGGACUGCAAGGUGCUGCAUGGUU
This 511-nucleotide ribosomal RNA is filed under the name uncultured Paracoccaceae bacterium. Its description in RNAcentral is "bacterial SSU rRNA". It matches the Rfam family "Bacterial small subunit ribosomal RNA", at positions 529 to 1050 of the family's 1533-position model. Lineage: Bacteria; Pseudomonadati; Pseudomonadota; Alphaproteobacteria; Rhodobacterales; Paracoccaceae. The record is from RNAcentral.